Lolium rigidum is the source of this 156-nucleotide long non-coding RNA. RefSeq lists it as uncharacterized. The record is from RefSeq and is a predicted model, not a curated record. Lineage: Eukaryota; Viridiplantae; Streptophyta; Magnoliopsida; Poales; Poaceae. The transcript has 2 exons.
GAAGGAGGACGACACCUAGCUGAUGGGAUGAUGGAUCCGGCUACCACUACUUGGUGGCCGAUGCAUGUUCUCGGGCUCUAAGCUCGACCCCACCAUCGCCAGCUGCAUUUCCGGCAGUGCUCUAUGUGAUUGAAAAGUAUACCGGCUUAGGAUCAA